Molecule: long non-coding RNA, 777 nt
Organism: Orcinus orca (killer whale)
Lineage: Eukaryota; Metazoa; Chordata; Mammalia; Artiodactyla; Delphinidae
Exons: 3
Source: RefSeq, a predicted model, not a curated record
UGAAGUUGAUAGAAUAUUGAACUGCAAGAAUCUCUCAAAAAGAUAAAAAUAAGUGAAAAAUAAUAAAAUCUAAUAUACAAAUAGCAGAAGUACAGAAGGAGAGAACAGAAAGUGGGAAAAAAAACCCUCAUCAUUGAAAUAAUUCAAGAUUUCCCAGAACUCAAAGAUAGAAGUUACCAGACCAGAAAGGGCCCAAGUGCCCAGCAUAAUAUAAACAGAUCCUCAUGAGAGUGUAUCAUUUUGAAAUUUCAUGAAACUGGGGCAAAAAGAACUUCCUAAGUAGAUUACAGUUACAUAUAAAGGAUUAAGAAUCAGAUGGCUUUAGACUGCUCAAUGGCAAUACUAGAAGCAAAGAGACAAACAAUCAAAAGUCUAAGAGAAAGCAGUUUCCAACCUAGAAUUUGAUGCCCAGCCAAACUAUCAGUCUAGUAGGAAUGAGAAUAGAAAAAAGAAUUUCCACACAUAGAAAGUCUCAAUUUACCUUCCAUGUGUUCCCUCUCAAGAAGUUACGAGAAGAGACCUCCAUCACAAUGAGACAGCAGAUCAGGAUGACAUGCAAUUCAGAAAGAGGAGAUUCAACAGAAAAGAGACAAAUGGUGGUGAAUGGAGCUCCUGGGACGAUGGCAGUGUACAGAAGUAGACAGAGGGUGACAAAGAUCCCUGCAGUCACCACACCUAGUUUCUAAGCUGAAGUCAGAACACUGGGAUGGCAGCUGUAUCCCUGAAACGAUCAGAAAUUUCUGGAGGGAUGAGAGGCUUUGCAUGCAUGUUUCAGGC